Long non-coding RNA from Drosophila montana, 438 nucleotides. RefSeq lists it as uncharacterized. The record is from RefSeq and is a predicted model, not a curated record. NCBI's taxonomy places the organism in Eukaryota, Metazoa, Arthropoda, Insecta, Diptera, Drosophilidae. The transcript has 3 exons.
AUUUAAAAAGAAAGUAAACCUAUUCAACUUAAAAAUUUCAUACAUUUUUCCAUCUACCUAUGGCCAAUUAUACCCCGCCAGAUUUUAUGACUUCUUAAAAAGUCUAGUUGUAAAAAUUGUUUAAGCAUUUUUCACACACGAACUCGUCGCAUGCAAAUUUUUAACGUGCAUCCCGAAAUUCGCUUGGAGCAGAACGAAUGCCUGAGACGUGCGUAGAGCGAAGCAGAAGAAGCAGAAGACUUUGGGUUAGGGUUCAAACAAAUUGCAUUUGCGGCUUGACUUGUCGCUAGGCAGACUGAGGCGGACUGAAGAGCAGCAAAAAAUGAAAGAAUUAACCGCGGCAUGAAUGAUAAUUAUUUUAUGGCGGAGGCUGCGGCACCCAGAAGGAAGUCGGCAAUCUAUGGAGAUGGGCGUAUUUUGCAUAAACAUAAUUUUUUA